Long non-coding RNA from Saccostrea cuccullata (small rock oyster), 143 nucleotides. RefSeq lists it as uncharacterized. The record is from RefSeq and is a predicted model, not a curated record. The transcript is spliced from 2 exons. Lineage: Eukaryota; Metazoa; Mollusca; Bivalvia; Ostreida; Ostreidae.
GUUAUAUAUAGCACUGGAUAACACAUGCAAGUUGGAUAAAAACGAUAUUGAAGAGGAUCCAACCAGCUAUUCUCAAGAAAAUGCUGUUUUAGUUUUUCUUUUGUCUAUUUUUGUAAAUUUAAAUAAAAAUUAUGUUGAUUUUA